CAGCCGCCGCGGUAAUACGUAGGUGGCAAGCGUUGUCCGGAAUUAUUGGGCGUAAAGGGCUCGCAGGCGGUUUCUUAAGUCUGAUGUGAAAGCCCCCGGCUCAACCGGGGAGGGUCAUUGGAAACUGGGAAACUUGAGUGCAGAAGAGGAGAGUGGAAUUCCACGUGUAGCGGUGAAAUGCGUAGAGAUGUGGAGGAACACCAGUGGCGAAGGCGACACUCUGGUCUGUAACUGACGCUGAGGAGCGAAAGCGUGGGGAGCGAACAGGAUUAGAUACCCCGGUAGUCCCUGUCUCUUAUAC
RNAcentral lists this ribosomal RNA (301 nucleotides) under uncultured bacterium. Its description in RNAcentral is "partial 16S ribosomal RNA". It matches the Rfam family "Bacterial small subunit ribosomal RNA", at positions 509 to 807 of the family's 1533-position model. The record is from RNAcentral.